UUCAAAUCUAGUUACACAUUGGAGAACUCACUCAGGAGAGAAACCUUUCUCAUGUUCUGAAUGUGGGAAAUGUUUUGGCCUUAGAACAUCUUUAGUUGCACACAUGAGAACUCACACAGGAGAGAAACCUUUCUCAUGUGCUGAAUGUGGGAAAUGUUUUAACAGGCAUUCAAAUCUAGUUACACACCGGAGAACUCACUCAGGAGAGAAACCUUUCUCAUGUGCUGAAUGUGGAAAAUGUUUUAACAGGCAUUCAAAUCUAGUUGCACACCAGAGAACUCACACGGGGGAGAAACCUUUGUCAUGUUCUGAAUGUGGAAAAUGCUUUAGCCAGUACUCAGCUCUAGUUGCACACCAGAGAAGUCACACAGAUGAGAAACCUUUCUCAUGUACAGAAUGGAGAAAUAGUUUUGUUAGUAAACCAGAGUUUGUUAAUAAUCAGAUAACUCACACUGUAGAGUUUUUAUAAUGUGUUUAUGAAUUAACAUCGGAGUUAAAUCGGAGUACAAAUACUGUGAAUUGCUUUAUUGCUGUCAAAAGAAAUAAUACCUGUGAUAAUAGCAAUGUAUAAAUGAUGCAUUGGUAUUGCGAUUGUGUUAACUCUACAGAGCCCCUCUUUACUUAUCUCCCCUUUGAUAUUAAUGUUAAAUUUGAAAACUUCUGUGCCUUCCAUGCACAACUCUUGAAUUCUUUAAUUUUGUUUAUUUUUUGUUAGUGUGAGAGUUAUUGCACAUAUUGUCUGGUUAUUUGAUGUUCCCCAUUUAUCAAUUUCACCUAACUAAUCUCUCCCAUUGAUUGGUUUAAUUUUCUCACCUAAUUUCUGCAUGCCUUUUUACACAUAGUUUAUUGCUUUAUCUACUCUCAGACUCUCUCUCUUACUGUCUGUGACCCAAACAACAGCAUUCAUAAGUUUCACUCAGGAUUCAAAGCUAACAAGUGUUGCAGCCAAAGCCAUAUGAAAAAAAUUCUGGAAGAUCAAGUCCCUCAAAACCCACCUCCUCAGACUAUGGCAUCUGAAAGUAACUGUUAUUUCACAAACCUAUUUUUCACGCCUUCUUAAAAGGCCACAGUCCUCUUUUACCUUUUAAUUCUGCUACUCCCCACCAUGUUGCUUGGUUGCUAUGUGGAAAAUGUCAGUAAAGCAAGUCUUGAAACACAUCAGAGAACUCACACAGGAGAGAAGCAUUUUUCAUGUUCUGAAUGUGGAAAAUUUGUUAUCCGUAAAGGAGAGCUUGUUAUACAUCAAAUAAUUCAAAUAGGAGAGAAA
Pelobates cultripes (western spadefoot toad) is the source of this 1267-nucleotide non-coding RNA. The record is from the annotation of a GenBank genome assembly. NCBI's taxonomy places the organism in Eukaryota, Metazoa, Chordata, Amphibia, Anura, Pelobatidae.